Molecule: ribosomal RNA, 1133 nt
Filed under: Levilactobacillus namurensis
Lineage: Bacteria; Bacillati; Bacillota; Bacilli; Lactobacillales; Lactobacillaceae
Description: bacterial SSU rRNA
Rfam family: Bacterial small subunit ribosomal RNA
Source: RNAcentral
AGUCGAACGAGUUCCCGUUGAUUGACGUGCUUGCACUGAUUUCAACAUUGGAACGAGUGGCGAACUGGUGAGUAACACGUGGAAAACCUGCCCAGAAGCAGGGGAUAACACUUGGAAACAGGUGCUAAUACCGUAUAACAACAAAAACCGCAUGGUUUUUGUUUGAAAGGUGGCUUCGGCUAUCACUUCUGGAUGGUUCCGCGGCGCAUUAGCUUGUUGGUGGGGUAACGGCUCACCAAGGCGAUGAUGCGUAGCCGACCUGAGAGGGUAAUCGGCCACAUUGGGACUGAGACACGGCCCAGACUCCUACGGGAGGCAGCAGUAGGGAAUCUUCCACAAUGGACGCAAGUCUGAUGGAGCAAUGCCGCGUGAGUGAAGAAGGGUUUCGGCUCGUAAAACUCUGUUGUUGAAGAAGAACGGGUGUCAGAGUAACUGUUGACAUCGUGACGGUAUUCAACCAGAAAGCCACGGCUAACUACGUGCCAGCAGCCGCGGUAAUACGUAGGUGGCAAGCGUUGUCCGGAUUUAUUGGGCGUAAAGCGAGCGCAGGCGGUUUCUUAAGUCUGAUGUGAAAGCCUUCGGCUUAACCGAAGAAGUGCAUCGGAAACUGGGGAACUUGAGUGCAGAAGAGGACAGUGGAACUCCAUGUGUAGCGGUGGAAUGCGUAGAUAUAUGGAAGAACACCAGUGGCGAAGGCGGCUGUCUAGUCUGCAACUGACGCUGAGGCUCGAAAGCAUGGGUAGCGAACAGGAUUAGAUACCCUGGUAGUCCAUGCCGUAAACGAUGAGUGCUAGGUGUUGGAGGGUUUCCGCCCUUCAGUGCCGCAGCUAACGCAUUAAGCACUCCGCCUGGGGAGUACGACCGCAAGGUUGAAACUCAAAGGAAUUGACGGGGGCCCGCACAAGCGGUGGAGCAUGUGGUUUAAUUCGAAGCUACGCGAAGAACCUUACCAGGUCUUGACAUCUUCUGCCAAUCUUAGAGAUAAGACGUUCCCUUCGGGGACAGAAUGACAGGUGGUGCAUGGUUGUCGUCAGCUCGUGUCGUGAGAUGUUGGGUUAAGUCCCGCAACGAGCGCAACCCUUAUUAUCAGUUGCCAGCAUUCAGUUGGGCACUCUGGUGAAACUGCCGGUGAC